This is an RNA transcript of Canis lupus familiaris (dog), 3197 nucleotides long. It is a transcript of the gene named WAS/WASL-interacting protein family member 1-like, with no coding region annotated. NCBI's taxonomy places the organism in Eukaryota, Metazoa, Chordata, Mammalia, Carnivora, Canidae. The record is from RefSeq and is a predicted model, not a curated record. The transcript is spliced from 2 exons.
GCCAAGUCUGCAGCCGAGCCCCCCAAUAUUCCACACAUUGACCCGGUUACAGCCUGACCUCGCAGCCCCUUCGGAUUAGCCCGGCGCGGCCUCCCUGGCGCCCGGGGCCCUCCCUGCGUGCCCCCCACGAGCGCCCUGCCCUCGCUCCCCUGUGCACGUUUGUUGUUGUAGCGGAGCGAAAAAGAGACAGUUAACCGGAUGAAACUUUUUUUUAGCUAAUUUUGGGAAGUGACUUCACUUUGCGAAUCGGGGAGGAAGUCCUAUCUCUCUCUCUCUCUCUCUCUCUCUCUCUCUCUCUCUGUCUCGCGCUCUCCUCUCCUCUCCCCUCUGCUCUCCCUCGUCUUCCCUCCCCCCACACCCCCUCUUCCUCCCCUCUGCUGGUCCUGCUUUUCGCAUCACACACACACACUAUAUAAAUACACCCGGAGAUGCCCAGAUACAUUCAUGCGCGGCGCACACAGGAUACUUGCUCCUGGGAGAUAAGGGCGAGCUGGGAACAAUGCCGGCGUCCACGCCCGGCGCCCGCGCCCUGAUUCCCGCAGUCUGCACCCACCCGCCCCCAACACCUUCCCCCAAAGUCCAAAACCAAGCGCCUUUGGCCUCCUUCCUUUUCCCGGGGCCGUUGGCCGAAGGUGGCCCUCCUGACUCAUUCACUUUCCGUUUCUUCCCACAGAUACGUUCAUUAAUGCUUUUUCCAGCCGGAGGCAAACUUAUUGGGGGUGGGGUGGGGUGUUGGGGGGGGGGAGAGUUUACUCGGGCUGGGGAUAACCUGGAGCCUACAGCCCUGGAAGAUCUCGACUCAGACCGAAGCAAACCAACCAUUAAAAAAAAAAAAAAAAAAAGAAAGAAAGAAAGAAAGAAAAAAGAAAAGCAUCCAAUGGGAGUUUUUCCACCGGGGCCCUCGGCUGCCGACGCGGACUCGGGGCGGUUUCGGAAGGACCCCGCCGUCGGGGGCGCGGACCCGGCUCCCCGCGCAUUGUUAGCAGCAGGGCGCCCCCGGGGCAGCGCGUCCCGGCCCUUCGCUCCUGGAGAGCUCCCGGCGCCCGCCCAGGGCCGGGACCCGCGGCACCCCGGGCCACCUACCCGCGCCGACUAGGGGCAGACCCCAGGCGCUUUACCUGGACCAGACGGCCCGGGUCCCGGCGCCCGGCCAGAGCCCCCCCAGGCAGCGCUACUCAGCGCCCCAAGAAACCGCAGCACGUCGCCUCCACACUGGUCAGCAGGUCUCCAGGGCGCAGCACGCAAGAUCGCCGCACAGACUCAGACUGCGCCCCCACCGUGAGCCCCCGGGGUCAGUGCUCGGGACCAUCACCCCCACCCAGCCGGGAGGCCAGCCUGGCCGGCCCCCGCCACCCGGAGACCUCCCCGCGGCCCCCCUGCAGCGCCGCCGCCGAUCGCCCGGGCUGGGGCAGCCUCCGGAGUCCGGGCUCAGCGAGGGGACCCCCCCCACCACCACCACACCUCCGGGCGCUCUCGGCCUGACUCCCUUCUCCCCAACCUCCAAAACAGGUUACCUUGUCCACGCUCUCCAGACCACGCUUUGGACUUUUUCAGUUUUAUUUAAGAGUCCACCCGGGGAAGGAGGAAAAAAAAAAUCCAGAGGAGAUCCGAAUCAAUUGGAAAGGAAAAAAAAAAAUUCAAAAGGGUGUCCACAGCAGCGAAAAAAGGAGGCUCCACCCAGCAUGGACCCAAUGUGGGGCCCGUACCCACGGCCCUGAGACCAAGACCUGAAGUGAGACCAAGAGUUGGCCGCUUAACCAACUGUGCCAUCCAGGUGCCCCUUAUUCUUGUUGAGUUUUGGGAGUUCUUCAUAUAUUCUGGAAACACAUCUGUUGUCACAUUUAUCUUUGGAAAUAUUUUUUUCCAUUUUGUGUCUUGUCUUCUGAUUCUCUUAACCGUGUCUUUCUCUGAGCAAAAGUUUUAAAUUUUGAUAAAGUCUAGUUUAUAUUUUUUCUUUUAUGAGUCUUGCUUUGGCUGUCAUAUCUAAAAACUCUUUACCAUACCUAAAGUCAAGCAGGUAUUCGCCUAUGUUAUCUUUUAGACCUUGGAUAGCCUUGAACUUUACAUUUCAGCCUCUGACGUAUUUUGAAAUAAUUUUUGUAUAAGAUGUGCAAUAUUUGUAAUGGUUCAUUAUUUAAUUACUUAAUAUUUUACAUACAAACAUCUAACUGUUCCAGAGUUGUUUGUUGAAAAGACUAUCUUUUCUUUAUUGAAUUUCGUUUGUACCUGUCUCAAAAAUCAGUUGACUAUAUUUGUGUGUUUAUGAGUUCUCUAUUCUGUUCUAUUGAUCUAUAUGUCAAUACCAUAUUGCCUUGACUAUGGUAGCUUUGUACUGAGUCUGGAAAUCAUAGUGUGAAUGGGUAACGUGAGUCCUGUGACUUUGUUCUUUUGCAGGUUUGUUCCGGCGACUCUAGUACCUUUGUCUUUCCAAAUAAAUUUUAGAAUCACCUUGUUGAACUCCAUAAGACUACUGGGGUUAUGUUGGGGAUUGUGAUGAACCUAUAGUAAAACAGAGGGAACUGACAUUUUAACAAUAUCAAGAAACGUGAAAUUUGCAAGUAUUUUCUAAGGAAUUUAUAUGACAUUGGUGUUCAUUGCUCCAUCUGACCUGAUUGUACUAUUUUUGCUCAACUUUGUCACUAGUGGCUAAGAUUAGCCACAAAUAUCAGUAUUUAACAUUACAUAAAUGCUUCAGUACUGAAACAUAUAAACAUAAAUAUACCCUUGAUUAUUAAGGGAUUAGGCUAAUAAUUCUCCAAAAAAUCAUGCAAUGCUAUACAUACACAAAGACUUACUUGUGCCUAUAGUUUUAUUAUAUUUGCAAUUAAAAAGAAACUUUCUUUUUUUAACUACUGGAAAACUCCUUGAAAAGACCAAAUAUGUAGAAAUUUGAGUACCUAUUAAGGGCUCAGAAAUUUGAUUGACUAACAGAGCUGUCAAGAAUGAUUUCACAAUUACAAUUAGAUUUCCACCACUAACCGUACUAUGAAGCAAUAUAGUGUAGCGGGUAAGAUUCCAGCUUUGGGUCAAAUAGACCUAGGUUUGUGUAAUGGCUCCUCAUUAACAAAGAGUUCUAAUAUGUCAAAAAGUCCUAAUAAAUACCAACUUAUUUUUUGUAUUAAAGUACUCAGCACAAUGUCUGGAACUUGAUUCCCAAUAAAUACUGACUAUACUAAUAAAUGGCUUUUUAUCUUAAA